This is a non-coding RNA of Acanthosepion pharaonis, 101 nucleotides long. NCBI's taxonomy places the organism in Eukaryota, Metazoa, Mollusca, Cephalopoda, Sepiida, Sepiidae. The record is from the annotation of a GenBank genome assembly.
UACGUGGAAACAUCGUUCCCCAUCGGAGCUCCAAAGUUAAGCAACGUGGAGCGUGGUCAGUACCUAGAUAGGUGAACUCCUGGGAAUCCCAGGUGCUGUAA